This 72-nucleotide transfer RNA is filed under the name Salmo salar (Atlantic salmon). It matches the Rfam family "tRNA". From Rfam's summary of the family: Transfer RNA (tRNA) molecules are approximately 80 nucleotides in length. The record is from Rfam by way of RNAcentral. Lineage: Eukaryota; Metazoa; Chordata; Actinopteri; Salmoniformes; Salmonidae.
UCAUCGUUAGUAUAGUGGUGAGUAUCCCCGCCUGUCACGCGGGAGACCGGGGUUCAAUUCCCCAACGGGGAG